Long non-coding RNA from Lagopus muta (rock ptarmigan), 7152 nucleotides. RefSeq lists it as uncharacterized. NCBI's taxonomy places the organism in Eukaryota, Metazoa, Chordata, Aves, Galliformes, Phasianidae. The transcript has 3 exons. The record is from RefSeq and is a predicted model, not a curated record.
ACCUAUUUAAGAGCUGGCUACCAGUGGGGAAGGAUCUCUUCUGGAGAUUGCCUCUGCUGGUGUUUUGUAAGUGAGCCCAGGAUAAGGAGCAGAAAGAUGAUGAAACUAACCUCAGCUUGUGCCUUGCCACCAGUCAAAACAUACACAUGUCCAGUUUCAUGCAGAAAGUGAAUGGAUGGUACUGCAUACUUUAUUCAGAAUACCAUUGGAGAAGAACAAAUGCUAUUCAAAACAAGAACAAGCCAAAAGUACCCUGGGGUUAUUGUAAACUCCAGCAGAUUUUUUGCAGGUGUUCUAGUCUUCAACAGCACAGUGAGAUUUUUCAUUCAUGUUUUGCCUGCAUCCUGGAAAACCAUGCUGAUGUGAAUAUCCAAGCUAAAGAAAACAAAGCCCAAUGUAAAUUUCAAAAAAAGAACUGGCUUUAUAUCCCAUGGAUUAUUAUAUAGCUGUGUUCACAAGCUGUGCCCAGGCAUCUCAGGCAUGUUGAACUAUUCAAGCAUAAACAGAGCCAAGAUUAUUUAUAGUUCUUUUGUGUCAUACUGGAUGAGGCUGUUUUGCAAUUGGAUAAAUAAUAGGGCCCGAGGUGACACAUACUAUAGUAUUGGUAGAGGGAAAGAGGGGGAAAUCGUGAAAUUGAAAUGCUUGAAAGUCUACAAACUAUAGCAAGAGCAACCAAUGUCAUGAGAAAGUCAUUCCUCUUCACAACACGUGAUUUUGGGUUCCUUUUAAUCAUUUUGUCUAGCUGUGUACUCUGUUUUAUGAUGGUUUAAUUGUAGCUGUACUUCAAAUGUGGUAUGCUGAUGGGGGACAGCAGGGGAGCAUUAGGCAUAAAAUUUAACUGCAAAGCUCAAUGCAAUCCUAAUUAUGGUGCUGCUAUGACACCUCCAUAAUUACUCUUUCUUAUCCACUGGCUCUACUAAAAUAAUUCACAAGACAAAAAGCAAGCUGAGAAUGCCAGCAUUGUCACUGCAGUCCAAAUCUAGACAGGACUAAAGUAUGGUGAUGGCUGGCUUUUUGACAUGCACAUCCUUCCACAGAAUUUACAAAAGACUUAUUUUAAGCAGUCAGUUUCCAUGUAAUCCAAAAGACAUCUAAACCAGCUGGAAGGAAAUGUGGAUGAGAAGUACUUAAAAUCUCAUCUUUCUCAGGCUACUCUGUGCAAGUUGAGGUAGUAGUUUUUCUGAGAUCAGGAUCUACAGUCCUGCAGGAUGUAGGAACUUUCUUAGCACAUGAAGGCUACUUACACUUUUCCUCUUAAAAACAGCAAGAAAUAAGAGUGUGGAACUUGUGCCAUUAUUUUGCUUUCUUAUAGCAACCUAGAAGCAUGGCAUCUCGUUAAUGGACAAAAUGAGUAAGUAUCACCAUGCCUUACUCCUUCUCUAGAUCAGGAGCGCAGUGACAGGGCUGGCAUUCUCAGCUUGCUCCUUGUCUUGUGAAACACUCAGGGGAGACAGCACAUGGGAAUGAUUAAUGACAAAUGUGUCAUAGCGGCACAGUAAUUAGAAUUGCCCUGGGCUUUGAACUUGAUUUGGGAAGCAUAAAUCAAUCUUCAGUUCUCCCUUUGCCUUAUUGUGGGACUACAGAGGCAAAUUCCUCUUGCAGACUCUUCUUUUCAUUAAUUCGCCAUUUUUAAAGAUUAUCCAAUCUAGCCCCCUCACUUUUCAGUUCAAAUGCUUUAAUGAGAAAGGACGAACGGGAGUUUGCAUUCUUGGGCAGAGGAUCAAGUCAAGCUCUGACCUUUUCACUAUAAUGCAAUGGAUACCAGGCCUGGAGAACCCUCUUAGUACUUCUUCCCCCUCUUCCUCUGACCCCAGUUAUGAUACAAAGGAAUCUAAUCAAGCCUAGAUAAUUUAGUACUUUUACCAAGAAAGCAGUAAAUAUGUCCAUGCUCAGUGACAAAACCUGCAGCAAUCUUGAAUACUCCACUAGGAAAAUGCAGGUGCAUAUUCACAGGCCUUUCAGUACCAACAAUGACAUUUUGUGCUCAUCACUCCUGUUUUUGGGGCUCCAUUUUGCCUGUCUUUGUGUCCUAGACUUUAUAUCUCAAAGUGUAACCAGAGCUGAAGGAUCAAAGUGAGUCCGUAUAACCUGUUGUGAGAAUCCUUCUCUGUUUUUUGGCUCAAAGCUUGCUUCCUGAGGUUUUUCUUGCGAUAAGACUCUGAAUGAUUUGUUGAGGAGGCAACUAAUGGGUGCUAACCGUGUGACAAUGGAUAUCGCUUUGGGAACAUUUGCAAGCCCCUUCCCCCAGAGCUGCUUGCUCUGUAGAAGAGCGGAAGAGAGUGCUCAGCAGUGUUCACUGGCGGAAGAUCUGGUCUGUGGCCAAACCACUCCAGCUAAGUAUGGAAUGAUACCAUUGUAUCUUGCGAAGGCAAGAUGCAAGUUGGUGCCUCCCUGCUUCCUCUUAUCUGCUGGCAAGGCCAGAAAGAUAAGAACAAAGGAGGUUCCUGCUGAGAUCCCAGAGCCAGAAGCUGCCACCGCAAGGAGAACUGACUCAACCACCUUGGGUUUGAGCUGUCACUCAAAGGAGAGCUGAUUCGACCACUUUGGAUUUGAGCUGUCACUCCAAAAAGAGCUGACUCAACCACUGUAAAGCACUGAAAAAGGGCCAUCAUCACCAUGGUCGUCGUCGUCAUUGGCAACAGGACAACUCUGCCUGACGACCCACUGCUACUGAAGAUCAAAGACUGAACUACGAACCUCGCUGGAUCCAUGGUGGUGACUAUCUCCCUCUUGCUUCCUAUAAAGACUCCUUGCUUCUUCUUUUCUAUCUUUUCUAUCGCCCUCCUUCCCUUCCCCCAUUACCCUAAUUCAUAAUAGUGUCCGUUCUCCCCUUCCCCAUUUCCCCUGAUUUUUGUUUUGAUAUUUGUAAUAAACUGGUUGGACCAACACUUGAACCGUUGCUUCUUAAUCUCACGCCGGGUAUAUAGGUAAUAAAAGAACCUCCUCUCCCUCCUAUAAAUUGGAGCGAGACAUUUAUUUAAUGGCGUAGUCGUUGCAGGAUACCCGCUGUGAGAGUGUUGUCCUUCCAGAUCUAGUUUGAAACUUUUUUUUUUUCUGUAUGCACCUCCUGGAGUUGCAAGGAGCGAUAGUUUUGAAAAUUUAGAUGUGAGUCCUUCUCCAGGAAGACCGCUCCAUGUUCUGAAACUUUGCCUUUUAUGUGUGUACCUCUCGGGGACGUAUUUUGACUAUUUGCAUUUUGUUUAAUACGUGUGUGCCUCCUCGGGAAGACCUCUGUGAUUAUUUGGUAACUGAAGUGCGGUGUGUCUGUGUGCGCGUGCCUCUUGGGGAAGUGAGGAAGUGAUAUUUUGUUACUUAAACGUGUGUGCCUCUCCAAGAAAGUUUAUUUACUCUAUUGAAACCUAGAAAGUGUUGCUUUAGCUUCGCAUUUUUUGUGCUCCCCCAAAGAAAGGAGAAGUGAUUGGAUCAUUUGCAUUUGUUUAGGUGUGGUGUAUCUCCCUGGGAGGAGCGGUGAGGAGUAACUGAGCUUUUGAAUACGUGUACCUUUUCCUCCCUUAGUGUUGGUCUUUCAUUGUAUUGAAAAAAAUGAGCGACAGCAUUGCCAACAUGAAAAGUGAAGAUGUAUUAUUUGAUCUUUUAGAAAAACAUGGUGCUCGACCCUCUUUAUCAGGUAUGGAUUGGGCACGACAGAACUGGUAUAACUUGCAGAGUGUUUCGGACCGUAUUAGUAUCCUGCAAAAGAAUGCUCGUACCCGAGCUGGAAAAGGAAAGUCGUUUAUUUGUGCCGUACUCGGGGCUACUUUAAAAGCAGCCGUGGAGUUCCGAGAUGAAAAGCAUUCGGCAGAAACCCAAAUUAUACAAGCACUGCAGGAAUCGGUUAAAGUAACACAAGAAUUGGUGAAAACUCUGCAGAAUCAAAUAGUGAACCUUGAGGAACAAUUAGAAAGAGAGAAAUGUAAUUCGGCUUUGUUGCAAAUGGCUUUUAAGGAACUGCUAACGUGUAAGCAUGCCAGCCAUACCGUCACCCAUAGUUUGCCUCGAGAAAAAACUUUUCCUCAGGUGGAACUACCAGGAAUGAAGGAAAGGCUAGAUAAAUUAGAAAUUCCAAUAGCCUCAUUGCAUCCUUUGAUUAAAAACUGAAUACACAUUCGAUAACAGUGAGGAUCUAGAUCCUCAAAUUAAUGUUAAAGAAAUUCCCUUCUCAGCCACUGAACUAGCAAAAUUGAAAAAAGAUUUCAGCCGCUCUCCAAAGGAAUCAGAGACAGAAUAUGUAUGGAGGAUUAGCCUCACUGGUGGCGACCAGAUUCGGUUAACAGAAAAGGAAGCAGAAGGUUACUGGGGACCAGGAGUAUUUUUAACUAAUGGUGACAAUCGUGCUCCCUGGUCCUUAACGCAAAGGGCUGCCUAUUGUGCAGGUGGUCUCAACCCUUUAGAACGGGGAGACCCUCUUGCCAUUACUGGAACAGUUGAUCAGUUAGUAGAGAGUGUUCAAAAGGCUGCUUGUCUCCAAAUGACGUACGAUAGAAAGCUGCAGCCACACCAUGAAUCACCUAUGAUGAUGCCUGUUGAUCCGGAGAGAAUGACUGCUUUAAUUAGGGGGCUUCCAGAGUCGUUAAAACCUAUAGGUAUACAACUGCAAGGAAAAAUACAGGUAAUGUCUCAGGGAGAGAGAACCCAGCCAGUGUUAGAAGGAACUGUAACCCCCAACCAUCUGCAGUCAGGAAACAAAGCAUGGACGUGGGGAGAGGUUGCCCAAGAGUUAAUUAACUAUGGAAGGAAAUAUGGGCCAGUGGUUUCUUCCUCCACUAAAUUUGAGCCAAGAGAAGUAAGACUUGCAGCAGUCAGCCUUGCCCCCAGGCCUCCUAGCUCAAAACUCAGUGGGACUGGAAGGGUCUCACUGUCAGUGAAAACAGGUAGGAGAAAUAUUGAUCAUAAACGUAAUUGUCUCUGGAUACUGGGCUGGUAAAAGGGUGUUCCAUGAGAUUUGAUGAAUGGAUUACCCACUGUCAGGUUGGAGAAAUUAGUUAACUGGUGGCCAGAACAAAAGCUCCAGAAUCCUGAGGAAAGCAAGACUCCAGGUCCUAGGGUCUCUCCCAAGGAACGUGAACGGCUCUCCAAGCCGUCAGAAAACUGAUGUCUUCGCCCCUCCCAAGUGAGCGGGGUGGGGGCGGUGAAGGGUGGGUGCAUGAGAAAGCUCACAACAAAGGGAAACAAGAUCCUCGAUUUAACACCUUCUGUCCAAAGGCCCCACCACUCUUGCCAGUUAUCCCUGUGAGUCACGAUCCAGUGGCUGAUAACCAGGGAAACUCUCUUAACCUCCCUGGCCAGACUGUGUCGAUUGACUCAGCUAGCCUGAGGCCAGUUUCCCCUAACCUUAACAGGAUCCCUUAACAAAAAUCUUUGGAAGGCUAAAGACACCCCGAAAAAGGAAUAUGAAAUCAACACUUGCUGGAUUGUUCCCUCAUUUUUUAACCAUAUUAACAAAGCCCAAAAAGGGCAAGUCGGUGUCUUGUUUUAUUUCACAGAAGAUCCCCGUGGGACCUUGACAGAACACAAAAAGGCUAAUAGCUGAUUUUAACUAUUUGUAUUUUGUGACAGAAAUGCUGAAGAUUUGAUCAUGCUAGAAUACUAAAUGUAUCUCUUGAUUACAUUUUUUGGUUGCAAUAGUGUUAUGUUUUGUGUUGUUGUGGGUGUGGGUGGUGAUUGGUAUCAGUCCUUGGAUCUGUUAAACUUCACAACUGAGUUCAGGGUUUUUACAGGUCAUCCUGGCUUACUGGUACUCCCUGCACAGUGAUACCAUUUCUUUUGAUCCUUUCUUUCACCCCUUUUUACCAAACUGAUUAUGAUUUGCAUGUAACUCCUUCACAGUGUUUCCAAAUUCCUAACAAACUGGGAAAUGAAUCAAGGGACCCAUCUAAUAUCUGUUAGAUGUGGUCACAAAAGAAAUCUAUCAUAAAGCCUUUUGCACAGAUGCAUGUUUCUGGGAUUACCCCUCUUUGAUGGUUUGUACUGUGGGGGUAUCCUGCACACGCUAUCCUGUGAAAAGUUCUGUGGACUGUAACAAUACUUGAACUUGCCAAACUAAUAUUUGUAUCUCUUAGCAUUUGAAUUGCUUUGGAAAUGCUCAAGUGGAAAGUUCUCAAGUCCACGUAUUGUCAAAUUAGACUAGAUAUGCUUUUAGUAAAUUAAGUGAAGUGUAAUAUUGUGGAGCUAUUCAUAAACACCACAACCUCUACUGAAGAAUUCCCAUCUGGAUCCUGGCUUACACUGGGAGUUCCUGGGUGGGGAAAGCAGCUGACACAAAUACCUAAGUUUGUUUUACUUAUUUGUUUAUUAUUAUUGGUUAUUGCCAAAUGUAUAGUUGUCUCUUUUCACUUUCUAUCUUUAAUUCAUCAUGUAACAUUCAUGUCACCACUCCUGAGGUGUCACCGAGUGGUGUAUGUGGCAAAUUGAAUGAUUCUAAUUGUAGUCUAAAGAUUGAUGAUAAUGGUGAAGUUGUUAAACAAAUUGCCCAGGGUAUACGGAAGAUAGCCAAUGUUCCUGUCCAAACCUGGAAGGGCCUAGACGUUGAUUUCUUUUCCUGGCUUCCAGGUGGCCCAUGGGUCAAACGUAUCCUGUUUUAUCUACUGUGUGUUGUUGCAACUCUUAUGUUUGUACCUUGUAUGAUUCCAUGUUUCAUUCAACUGAUACAACGUGUUGUAUCCUCCAUGUACUUUGUAACCAGUUCAACUGAUGAUGGACAAGUCCUGCAGAUCAGGGCAACAUUUGUAACCAAGCCCAAGAAAUCUUUUGUAGUAAUUAUGUAACGAUUAUCUUCCCCUUAUCCCCCUCCUCCUUCCCCCCCCUGCUUCUUUGCUGUCUUUUUAUUUUCUGCCUUUUCCUCACAACUGUGGAGGGUCACUUAUGCUUCAUUUCAAGCAAUCUUUGAGCAACGGGGUGGUGUGAGAAUCCUUCUCUGUUUUUUGGCUCAAAGCUUGCUUCCUGAGGUUUUUCUUGCGAUAAGACUCUGAAUGAUUUGUUGAGGAGGCAACUAAUGGGUGCUAACCGUGUGACAAUGGAUAUUGCUUUGGGAACAUUUGAAAGCCCCUUCCCCCAGAGCUGCUUGCUCUGUAGAAGAGCGGAAGAGAGUGCUCAGCAGUGUUCACUGGCGGAAGAUCUGGUCUGUGGCCAAACCGCUCCAGCUAAGUAUGGAAG